Molecule: ribosomal RNA, 373 nt
Filed under: uncultured bacterium
Lineage: Bacteria
Description: bacterial SSU rRNA
Rfam family: Bacterial small subunit ribosomal RNA
Source: RNAcentral
GUAGGGUCCGAGCGUUGUCCGGAGUUACUGGGCGUAAAGCGCGCGCAGGCGGCGGUGUAAGCAUGGCGUGAAAGCCCCAGGCUCAACCUGGGAGGGUCGUCGUGGACUGCACCGCUUGAGGGCGGUAGGGGCUGGUGGAAUGCCUGGUGUAGUGGUGAAAUGCGUAGAGAUCAGGCGGAACACCCGUGGCGAAGGCGGCCAGCUGGGCCGUCCCUGACGCUGAGGCGCGAAGGCGUGGGGAGCGAACGGGAUUAGAUACCCCGGUAGUCCACGCAGUAAACGAUGCAGACUAGGCGUGGGGGGAGUUGACCCCCUCCGUGCCGGAGCCAACGCGGGAAGUCUGCCGCCUGGGGAGUACGGCCGCAAGGCUAAA